UUGGAGAGAGAGAAACAGCCUUGUAGGGGGAGAGGAGAUUAUAGAGAGAGAAGGGGAGCAUUGUGGGUUCCCCAGAUGGGCAGGAAUAGGAGGACUUCGUGAAUGGGGGGCCUGCUUUCCUGCUCAAAUUGUUAACGCCAUUGAUGCUUGUCCGAGGAGGAAUUUUCACUCUUGUCAUUAUUGUUUUCGCCUGUUCAAAUCAAAUGGUUGGGUAACAUUCAAAAAAAAGAAAUCAAAUGGUUGGGUAACAACGGUCGAAUUAUGAUGCCUCUUGAAUUUCCAGCUCAAAUGGCCACGCCCAAGAGGCUCUACCAAGUCUGGAAAGGAAGCAAUAGAUUUUUCUGUGGUGGUAGACUAAUAUUUGGUCCAGAUGUGGGAUCGGUGUUUCUUUCCACUUUCCUCAUAGCAGGUCCGGCAGGACUUUUUUGCUCACUUGUGGCUACAAAGAUCAUUGAGCACUCUAAAUUUCUUGGGAUUCCAGUUUUGGCGGUGGCUGUGAUCCUCACAAUAUUGGAUUUGAUUCUUCUUCUCCUGACCUCUGGUAGAGAUCCUGGUAUAGUUCCACGAAAUUCAAGGCCACCUGAUCCUGAUGAAGCUUUUGAUGCCACUACCCCAUCAAUGGAAUGGGUGAACGGAAGAACCCCACAUUUAAGACUACCCCGAACAAAGGAUGUUAUUGUAAAUGAUAUCAUAGUGAAGGUCAAGUACUGCGAUACAUGCCUGCUUUAUCGCCCUCCCAGGUCUUCGCAUUGCUCAAUAUGCAACAAUUGUGUUCAAAAGUUCGAUCACCAUUGCCCGUGGGUUGGCCAGUGUAUUGGACUACGUAACUACCGGUUCUUCUUCUUUUUCAUAUUCACGUCCACUUUGCUGUGUAUCUACGUCUUCACCUUUUCAUGGAUCAACAUUCUUCAAAGGCAUCAUAGUGGAAGGGUGUUGAAAAUCAUAAAGGAGGAGAUCCCAUCAGUUAUUCUCAUAGCGUAUGGUUUCAUAACUGUCUGGUUUGUUGGUGGGCUCACUGUCUUUCAUCUCUACCUCAUCAGCACAAACCAGACUACCUAUGAAAAUUUCCGAUACCGAUAUGAUAAAAAAGAGAACCCAUAUAAUCUCGGUGUCUUAAAGAACUUCAAGCAACUGUUUCUUUCGAGAAUCCCUCCUUCUAUGAAUGAUUUCAGAUCAUGGGCAGUGGAAGGUUCUUCAGAACUGGGGCCAACAAUGACUAAUUUUGGGGGAGAUAUGAUGAGCCCAAAAGCAAAGAUCGAUAUUGAAAUGGCCGGUAUGCCAAUCCCUGAGAUAUUGCAUAGUUUGGACUACACAGGUAUUGAUGAUGUUUUCAAGGAAAAGGAUGAACUUGGAGAUAAUAAGCAUGGACCUUUUGCUUUCCCAGAAGUUGAAGAAACAAGAGAAUCUGAUGAAAACCAAAGAAAAUCAGAGGCUGCUCUUAUGGAUGGAGGAAGCAGCUCCAAUGCCAUGGGAUCCCAAGUUGACCAUAGCAUCCACACUCAUCAGCCAUAAAGGAUGGUUUUGAUUGAUGCGAUGCAUGCAUCAUUAUAAAUUGGAAGCAAGCAUGUGGAGACAAUAUGUAUAUAGAAAAUAGGUCAUGUUCCACAACUUUUUCUAAUGAGAGGUCUAUCGCGGUACAAAGAUAGUGAUUCUUUCCCAAUUGAUCGGAGGGCACCUUUUUAUGUGUGAUGAAUCCUAGCCAAGUGUAUAUUCGGGCCUACGCGAGGUUAGGAUUGCUAUUUAAAAUUGAAACCCCAAAACAUAAACAGAAAAAGAAUAGCUUUUUCAUUUUGUGUGCUAAGAAACUUGUUAAUCUUAUAGAGAGAAUUUUAUUGUUUUGAAGUUGCUUUCCCCAAUUGAUUUGGAGUGGUGGAAACUCAAGAAUAUUGUUCUCUUCUUUUGUGCCUGAUAACUUGAAAGUCCUGGAAUUUGAUAAUGUUUAUUUGGAAGAUGCAAAUUGU
Amborella trichopoda is the source of this 1961-nucleotide RNA transcript. It is a transcript of the gene named putative protein S-acyltransferase 4, with no coding region annotated. NCBI's taxonomy places the organism in Eukaryota, Viridiplantae, Streptophyta, Magnoliopsida, Amborellales, Amborellaceae. The record is from RefSeq and is a predicted model, not a curated record.